GAUGAACGCUGGCGGCGCGCCUAACACAUGCAAGUCGAACGGCACCCCUCCUCGGAGGGAAGCGAGUGGCGAACGGCUGAGUAACACGUGGAGAACCUGCCCCCUCCCCCGGGAUAGCCGCCCGAAAGGACGGGUAAUACCGGAAACCCCGGGGUGCCGCAUGGCACCCCGGCUAAAGCCCCGACGGGGGGGGAUGGCUCCGCGGCCCAGCAGGUAGACGGCGGGGUGACGGCCCACCGUGCCGACAACGGGUAGCCGGGUUGAGAGACCGACCGGGCGGAUUGGGACUGAGACACGGCCCAGACUCCUACGGGAGGCAGCCGGGGGGAAUCUUGCGCAAUGGGGGGAACCCUGACGCAGCGACGCCGCCUGCGGGACGGAGGCCUUCGGGUCGUAAACCGGUUUCAGCAGGGAAGAGUCAAGACUGUACCUGCAGAAGAAGCCCCGGCUAACUACGUG
RNAcentral lists this ribosomal RNA (459 nucleotides) under uncultured bacterium. RNAcentral's name for it is "partial 16S ribosomal RNA". It matches the Rfam family "Bacterial small subunit ribosomal RNA", at positions 28 to 507 of the family's 1533-position model. The record is from RNAcentral.